This 207-nucleotide ribosomal RNA is filed under the name uncultured bacterium. RNAcentral describes it as "partial 16S ribosomal RNA". It matches the Rfam family "Bacterial small subunit ribosomal RNA", at positions 568 to 774 of the family's 1533-position model. The record is from RNAcentral.
CGUGUAGGCGGUUGGGUAAGUCAGAUGUGAAAGCCCUGGGCUCAACCCAGGAAGUGCAUUUGAAACUACCCAACUUGAGUACGGGAGAGGAAGGGGGAAUUCCCGGUGUAGAGGUGAAAUUCGUAGAUAUCGGGAGGAAUACCGGUGGCGAAGGCGCCCUUCUGGACUGAUACCGACGCUGAGACGCGAAAGCGUGGGGAGCAAACA